AGAUUAAAGCGUGUUUUCGGGUAACUGUGUUUUCAUGGAGGCGUCGGGCAUUGAUCAAUUUAGGGUGGAGGCUGAUACCACCUACUACGGAAGAUGGCUAAUGCGGAAUAUUAUAUGACUUGAAGUUUGUUCGUCACUAAUUAAACCACAAUAAUUGAAGAUAUCUAUAGCCAUAAUUAAACGAAAAAUAUGUAUUAUACGUUAUUAUUAUGUAACUGAGACACCCGAAAUAUACAAAAGUGUCAAUUCAUUUCAAUUACAACGAACAUUUGCUGCCAUAUACGUGUGUAAGACGGUGGCAACACAAUAUGCAAAUAACACAAU
Long non-coding RNA from Myzus persicae (green peach aphid), 324 nucleotides. RefSeq lists it as uncharacterized. The record is from RefSeq and is a predicted model, not a curated record. The transcript is spliced from 3 exons. NCBI's taxonomy places the organism in Eukaryota, Metazoa, Arthropoda, Insecta, Hemiptera, Aphididae.